This 496-nucleotide ribosomal RNA is filed under the name uncultured bacterium. RNAcentral's name for it is "partial 16S ribosomal RNA". It matches the Rfam family "Bacterial small subunit ribosomal RNA", at positions 29 to 507 of the family's 1533-position model. The record is from RNAcentral.
AUGAACGCUGGCGGCGUGCCUCAUACAUGCAAGUCGAGCGAACGGACGAGAAGCUUGCUUCUCUGAUGUUAGCGGCGGACGGGGGAGUAACACGUGGAUAACCUACCUAUAAGACUGGGAUAACUUCGGGAAACCGUAGCUAAUACCGGAUAAUAUUUUGAACCGCAUGGUUCAAAAGUGAAAGACGGUCUUGCUGUCACUUAUAGAUGGAUCCGCGCUGCAUUAGCUAGUUGGUAAGGUAACGGCUUACCAAGGCAACGAUGCAUAGCCGACCUGAGGGGGUGAUCGGCCACACUGGAACUGAGACACGGUCCAGACUCCUACGGGAGGCAGCAGUAGGGAAUCUUCCGCAAUGGGCGAAAGCCUGACGGAGCAACGCCGCGUGAGUGAUGAAGGUCUUCGGAUCGUAAAACUCUGUUAUUAGGGAAGAACAUAUGUGUAAGUAACUGUGCACAUCUUGACGGUACCUAAUCAGAAAGCCACGGCUAACUACGUG